RNAcentral lists this ribosomal RNA (465 nucleotides) under Vreelandella stevensii. Its description in RNAcentral is "partial 16S ribosomal RNA". It matches the Rfam family "Bacterial small subunit ribosomal RNA", at positions 338 to 795 of the family's 1533-position model. The record is from RNAcentral. Lineage: Bacteria; Pseudomonadati; Pseudomonadota; Gammaproteobacteria; Oceanospirillales; Halomonadaceae.
CCUACAGGGGGCUGCAGUGGGGAAUAUUGGACAAUGGGGGCAACCCUGAUCCAGCCAUGCCGCGUGUGUGAAGAAGGCCCUCGGGUUGUAAAGCACUUUCAGUGAGGAAGAACGCCUGGUGGUUAAUACCCAUCAGGAAAGACAUCACUCACAGAAGAAGCACCGGCUAACUCCGUGCCAGCAGCCGCGGUAAUACGGAGGGUGCGAGCGUUAAUCGGAAUUACUGGGCGUAAAGCGCGCGUAGGUGGCUUGAUAAGCCGGUUGUGAAAGCCCCGGGCUCAACCUGGGAACGGCAUCCGGAACUGUCAAGCUAGAGUGCAGGAGAGGAAGGUAGAAUUCCCGGUGUAGCGGUGAAAUGCGUAGAGAUCGGGAGGAAUACCAGUGGCGAAGGCGGCCUUCUGGACUGACACUGACACUGAGGUGCGAAAGCGUGGGUAGCAAACAGGAUUAGAUACCCGGGUAGUC